AUUUCACCUUUGACCAUGCUUCGCUCAGGCGCACCUGAAAGCUUCCUUUUCAGAUUUUUCAAUGGAUUCACCGCGACCACUCGGCAGCUCCUCCGUGAGAAGUGUGAACAAAAAGAACAUGCGCAUAUACUGCUGCUUUAGGUAUUUUCACAACCGCGAAGGGGAUGUCGGCAUCAAAUUGUGCCGCUUCCCUUCAAGAAUGUGGGGAGAAACCCGGCGGCUGAAGGUGGAUCGUCGUGGUUCGGGCCGUCAACGGUGAUGACCUCUCACACUGGAGCCCGAAUGACAACACCAGAAUAUGCUCGAGGCUCUUUGUCAACGGAGAAAAAAGCUCCAUAAAGAAUCAUUCAAGUUACCUUCCAACUCGCCAAAACCUCGACAAAUGUGAUAAGCAAGGCACGCUCGAAGUAUACUGAAGCUACAAAUGAAAGUUGAAAAACGUCUACGGCCGUAUUUGCCCACUUAAGCGGAAUAAAUU
Long non-coding RNA from Dermacentor silvarum, 478 nucleotides. RefSeq lists it as uncharacterized. The record is from RefSeq and is a predicted model, not a curated record. NCBI's taxonomy places the organism in Eukaryota, Metazoa, Arthropoda, Arachnida, Ixodida, Ixodidae. The transcript is spliced from 2 exons.